UUUGCAGGGGCACUCAAAUUCAAGAAAUGUCAAGCUACUGGCUAUGGAUGCGUGCCGUUUAACCAAUGCCCUCCACCGUAUUGGGCACCUCGCUCUGGCUGUGCGUGUGGCUCUAUUUGCUGCAACUUCGGAAGAAUGAAUGCCUGCUCUUUGGCUGGAGGAACUUGUGAAGUACAGUGCAGAACCCGAAUUCCAAAAGUCAAGUGUCCUGGAUUCAAGAAGUGCUGUGCCAAGGUGCCUAGUUAAGGAAACGCCAUUAUAGUAUGCAAACAUGCCAUAUUUAACGCUGUAGUAGGGCAUAAAAACAGCAUUAGGCAUUCUCUUUACCUUUCUGUUCAUCACAUGUCUGAAACGAAGUAUUAAAUGAGCACAAAAAGAUGAAUAAAUUUCAACACAAGCG
Dermacentor silvarum is the source of this 400-nucleotide long non-coding RNA. RefSeq lists it as uncharacterized. The record is from RefSeq and is a predicted model, not a curated record. Lineage: Eukaryota; Metazoa; Arthropoda; Arachnida; Ixodida; Ixodidae. The transcript is spliced from 2 exons.